This 461-nucleotide long non-coding RNA is filed under the name Sorghum bicolor (sorghum). Its description in RNAcentral is "long non-coding RNA (SBIC_LNC002589)". Lineage: Eukaryota; Viridiplantae; Streptophyta; Magnoliopsida; Poales; Poaceae. The record is from RNAcentral.
AACUAGAGAACUCUCAGGAAACUUCCUCUCUUCCCACCAAAAAUAGUUAUAUAGUUAUCCUUGGGCGAUCGUGGAUCUUAAUUAGUACACUCACGUUCCCUGUGGAAAAUCGAUACUCUGGAAUACUCCCAGGUGAAAGCUACAUCGGUAUCCGUGCGCUUGCGGAUUUUUCUGUUUGCGUUUAAAAUACCCAACAGGGUGAGAAAGAAGGCAAUGUCACUAUGCCUUAUACCACAAAUACCACAUAUCUUGAGAGAAGGCAUAUACCAUCACUGCCUUGGUAAGGAUCUAGAAAUACCACAAAAGAGAGAUUUAGAGAGUCAUACAAGGAAUCUCUGAGUUUUAUUUGAAAAUCUGCAAAAACUCCAGAGCUAUAGCUGAUCAAGAAUAAGAGACAUGGCACUUGGCUAGACUGUUCUAUCUUUUAACUACUCAAGACAGAAGUGACGGUUACAAGUCCC